Molecule: transfer RNA, 73 nt
Filed under: Microseira wollei NIES-4236
Lineage: Bacteria; Bacillati; Cyanobacteriota; Cyanophyceae; Aerosakkonematales; Aerosakkonemataceae
Description: tRNA-Thr
Rfam family: tRNA
About the family: Transfer RNA (tRNA) molecules are approximately 80 nucleotides in length. Their secondary structure includes four short double-helical elements and three loops (D, anti-codon, and T loops). Further hydrogen bonds mediate the characteristic L-shaped molecular structure. tRNAs have two regions of fundamental functional importance: the anti-codon, which is responsible for specific mRNA codon recognition, and the 3' end, to which the tRNAs corresponding amino acid is attached (by aminoacyl-tRNA synthetases). tRNAs cope with the degeneracy of the genetic code in two manners: having more than one tRNA (with a specific anti-codon) for a particular amino acid; and 'wobble' base-pairing, i.e. permitting non-standard base-pairing at the 3rd anti-codon position.
Source: RNAcentral
GCAGGUGUGAUGUAAUUGGCAACAUGAGGCUCUUGUAAAGCUUUCUUGCGAGUUCAAAUCUCGCCAUCUGCUC